Molecule: ribosomal RNA, 482 nt
Filed under: uncultured bacterium
Lineage: Bacteria
Description: bacterial SSU rRNA
Rfam family: Bacterial small subunit ribosomal RNA
Source: RNAcentral
GACGAACGCUGGCGGCGUGCCUAACACAUGCAAGUCGAGCGGAGUCGAUCGACGGAAGCCUUCGGGCGGAAGAUGGUUGACUUAGCGGCGGAUGGGUGAGUAACGCGUGGGCAACCUGCCUCGAAGACCGGGAUAACAGCCCGAAAGGGCUGCUAAUACCGGAUGUGGUCAAGGAUCCGCAUGGAUUUUUGAUUAAAGGGGAAACCCGUUUCGAGAUGGGCCCGCGUCCUAUCAGCUAGUUGGUGAGGUAAAAGCUCACCAAGGCGACGACGGGUAGCCGGCCUGAGAGGGUGACCGGCCACACUGGAACUGAGACACGGUCCAGACUCCUACGGGGGCAGCAGUGGGGAAUCUUCCACAAUGGGCGAAAGCCUGAUGGAGCGACGCCGCGUGAGCGAAGAAGGCCUUCGGUUGUAAAGCUCUGUCUGGAGGGACGGAAGGAAGUGACGGUACCUCCGGAGGAAGCCACGGCUAACUACGUG